Hemicordylus capensis (graceful crag lizard) is the source of this 672-nucleotide long non-coding RNA. RefSeq lists it as uncharacterized. The record is from RefSeq and is a predicted model, not a curated record. Lineage: Eukaryota; Metazoa; Chordata; Lepidosauria; Squamata; Cordylidae. The transcript is spliced from 2 exons.
GUGGUACCAGUCAGUGAUCACUCUAAUUUUUUUAAUCUCUGUGUGGAAUGCGUUUGUUCUGUGCGGCAAUAUCAAGACUCUGUGUGCGCACAUGCAUGCAGAGUGGGGCCUUCCUAAUACAAACUGAGCGGAAUCCAAGAUUAACUGAGUGGACAUCAGAAAACUUUCUAACUUUAGAUUGUGAGAUCAUUGGGACCGGGAUUUUUGUGUCUGCUUGUGCUGAAGUUGCACUGUGUUCUGUUACUGCCGGGGUGAGAAGAACUGGCUGUGGUCAUCAACCAGAAGAGCAAAAGCUGCUAGGAAAUCCCACCUUUCCCCUCACAGCAAAAGCAUCAGCAAGGGAAAAGAUUAACCUGGCAUUAACCAAUGGACAAGGAACCAGUAGCUUGUUUUUCCCUUUCUUCCAGAAUUUGCUUGUGUUAUAUUUGGAGAUACAGCAGCUGAGCAGCUCUACAUAUAGGAUUGUAUCUAAACAGUUAGUCAUGACUAAGCACCCCUGAGAACAAUGAGACAAGUUAGUUAUAUAACUAAGAAGUCCCAUUUAUUUGGGUACUUAGUCACACACAACUUUAUCUGGAUACAUAACUUUAUUUGGAACAUUAGAAAGAGAUGCAAUUUUGUGAUGAGCAAAUGGAUGAAUAAAUUCCCCCAAUGAAGACAGCUGAACAUGCA